AUUUUUCUGACUUCCUGAAAUAUGUUUUCAGAUAUAUUUAAAUUUUUAGGGUUUGGGGUUUUGCUUGUUUCUUAGUUUGUUGUUUCAUUUUUAGUUUUUUGUUGUUGUUGUUGUUGUUAUUUGUUUGUUUGUUUGUUUGUUUUCUAAAAAUAGAUGAAGAGUUGUAUUUACAGGAGUAAGAAAUUGCUUGAGAGAGCAGGAUUGGUUAUUUUAAGUAAUUACUCUUCUGAUACAAUGCUUUAUUUUGUCACAGGACACGUGAGUGAAACACUAAUUUAACAUUUUAUAUACCUAAGUCAAUAUAUAACCUUGAACCAGAAUAACUGAACCUGGAGUGUCAAUUAUUUUUCUGGGAAGAGUGAUCUGCAGUUGGCUUAUAUAGCAGAUUGUUGCAGAUAAACACAUUGUAUGUCACUAUUUUAAUGUUAUCACAAGAAAUUUUAUUAUGCUGGUAUUAUGUAAAACAUCUCUGAAGCAGCCCUGAAAAUGCUUUUAAACUCAGUGUAGUGGCUUUACAUGGCAAGGUUUUGGUAGCAGGGGGCCAUAGGGGUGGUUUCUGUGAGAAGGAUCUAGAAGCUGCCCCAUGUUUGGGAAGGGCCCCACGGCCGACCAGAGCCGAGCCAAUAAGCGAUGUUGUUUUUUGCCUCUGUGAGAGCUUAUUUAAGACAGGGAAAAAAACGCUGCGCCACACAGCAGCUGGGAGAGUGAGAGCAGUGAGGAACAGCCUUGCAGGUGCCAAGGUCAGUGUAGAAGGAGGGGGAGAGGUGCUCCAGGCGCCGGAGCAGAAGUCCCCUGUGGCCUGUGGUGAGGACCACGGUGAAGCAGGAUGUCCCCCUGUAGCCCAUGGAGUACCACGGUGGAGCAGGGUUCCACGCUGCAGCCCGUGGAGGAGACCACGGUGGAGCAGGUGGCCCUGCACCGACGGAGGCUGCCGCCUGUGGAAGACCCCUGCCAGAGCAGAUUCCGGACCAGACCUGUAGCCCAUGGAGAGGAGACCACGCAGGAGCAGGUGACCUGGCAGGAGCUGCUGCCUGUGGGAGGCCCACGCCAGAUCAGUUCAUCAAGGACUGCAUCCUGUGGGUGGGACCCCACAGCACAGGGGACGAGAGUGACCGAGAAGGAGCGGCAGAGAAGAAGUGCUGUAGACUGACCAUAACCCCCAUUCCCCUGUCCCCCUGCACCACUCGGGGGGGAGGAGGUGGAAGAGGAUGGAUGGGGGGGAAGGUGCUUUUGGUUUCUUUCCUUUGUUUCUCACUUCUCUGGCUUGUUAGUAAUAAGCAAUAAAUCUUACUAUCUCCCUAUGCCGAGUCUGUUUUGCCCAUCACAAUAAUUACCUUGUCCUGAUCUCAACCCUUGAGCCCUUUUCAUCGUAUUUUCUCCCUGUUCCUCUUUGAACAGGGGGAGUGAGAGAGCGGCUGUGGUGGAGCUUGGCUGCCCACUUCAGUAGAACCACCACACUCAGUAAAGGUGAAAGAAACUGAAUUACCAAGAUACAGUUCCAGGCUAAUUUCCCACGAACCAUGAUCAUAUGUUACGUUCCAGAGGCAGUGAAAUCUAUCUGUCCACCUACAUACAUACAUACAUACAUACAUACAUAAAUAAAUAAAUAAAUAAAUAAAUAAAUGCA
Molecule: long non-coding RNA, 1627 nt
Filed under: Anas platyrhynchos platyrhynchos (common mallard)
Lineage: Eukaryota; Metazoa; Chordata; Aves; Anseriformes; Anatidae
Description: lncRNA (ENSAPLG00000020364.1)
Source: RNAcentral